GUAGGGAAUAUUGGGCAAUGGUCGGAAGACUGACCCAGCCAUGCCGCGUGCAGGAAGACGGCCCUCUGGGUUGUAAACUGCUUUUAUCUGGGAAGAAAAAGGCCAUGCGUGGCAAAUUGCCGGUACCAGAUGAAUAAGCACCGGCUAACUCCGUGCCAGCAGCCGCGGUAAUACGGAGGGUGCGAGCGUGGUCCGGAUGUAUUGGGUUUAAAGGGUGCGUAGGCGGCUGAUUAAGUCAGCGGUGAAAUACUUCGGCUUAACCGGAGCAGUGCCGUUGAUACUGGUUGGCUUGAGUGUCGGAGGGGUACAUGGAAUUGAUGGUGUAGCGGUGAAAUGCAUAGAUACCAUCAGGAACACCGAUAGCGAAGGCAUUGUACUGGCCGACAACUGACGCUGAUGCACGAAAGUGUGGGGAUCGAACAGGAUUAGAUACCCCGGUAGUCC
This 444-nucleotide ribosomal RNA is filed under the name uncultured bacterium. Its description in RNAcentral is "partial 16S ribosomal RNA". It matches the Rfam family "Bacterial small subunit ribosomal RNA", at positions 354 to 796 of the family's 1533-position model. The record is from RNAcentral.